ACCUUACCUACCCUUGACAUCCAGAGAACUUUCCAGAGAUGGAUUGGUGCCUUCGGGAACUCUGAGACAGGUGCUGCAUGGCUGUCGUCAGCUCGUGUUGUGAAAUGUUGGGUUAAGUCCCGUAACGAGCGCAACCCUUGUCCUUAUUUGCCAGCGAUUCGGUCGGGAACUCUAAGGAGACUGCCGGUGACAAACCGGAGGAAGGUGGGGACGACGUCAAGUCAUCAUGGCCCUUACGGGUAGGGCUACACACGUGCUACAAUGGCCGGUACAAAGGGUUGCGAGACCGCGAGGUGGAGCGAAUCCCAGAAAGCCGGCCUCAGUCCGGAUCGGAGUCUGCAACUCGACUCCGUGAAGUCGGAAUCGCUAGUAAUCG
RNAcentral lists this ribosomal RNA (376 nucleotides) under Halomonas sp. NIOB 793. RNAcentral describes it as "bacterial SSU rRNA". It matches the Rfam family "Bacterial small subunit ribosomal RNA", at positions 968 to 1344 of the family's 1533-position model. The record is from RNAcentral. Lineage: Bacteria; Pseudomonadati; Pseudomonadota; Gammaproteobacteria; Oceanospirillales; Halomonadaceae.